Molecule: ribosomal RNA, 301 nt
Filed under: uncultured bacterium
Lineage: Bacteria
Description: partial 16S ribosomal RNA
Rfam family: Bacterial small subunit ribosomal RNA
Source: RNAcentral
CAGCAGCCGCGGUAAAACGUAGGGUGCAAGCGUUAAUCGGAAUUACUGGGCGUAAAGCGUGCGCAGGCGGUUAUAUAAGACAGAUGUGAAAUCCCCGGGCUCAACCUGGGAACUUCAUUUGUGACUGUAUAGCUAGAGUACGGCAGAGGGGGAUGGAAUUCCGCGUGUAGCAGUGAAAUGCGUAGAUAUGCGGAGGAACACCGAUGGCGAAGGCAAUCCCCUGGGCCUGUACUGACGCUCAUGCACGAAAGCGUGGGGAGCAAACAGGAUUAGAUACCCCGGUAGUCCCUGUCUCUUAUAU